CCAGUUUCCACGGCCCUGGGAGUGAUUUGAGCUGCAUGGAUUUGCCUUGACUUGUGGGACUUCUCUCUGGGGGACCAACCUUCAGCUUAUCUCCAGGUGCUCCCCACUCCCCCUGCCCUCACAAGUUAGGAAUCUCUUGGAAUUCUGCACCGAAUGCCCUGAGAGACAGGUUUCGACAAUCAUGAAUAGAGCUGCCAUAAACAUCUCUAUGCUGCUUUAUGUGUGGAUAUAAGUUUUCAACUCAUUUGGACAUGUAACAAGGAAC
Canis lupus familiaris (dog) is the source of this 265-nucleotide long non-coding RNA. RefSeq lists it as uncharacterized. NCBI's taxonomy places the organism in Eukaryota, Metazoa, Chordata, Mammalia, Carnivora, Canidae. The record is from RefSeq and is a predicted model, not a curated record. The transcript has 3 exons.